GCACUUUCAAUAGCCGGGGGAUGCGCUUAUAUUAUGGGGGUCGGGCAACCGACUAUGGCGAUAAACGUCAUGCUUAUUACCCGUUGCGGACCCGGGGGCAGUACCCGGCGCCUCCACCAUUUCCCGGCCACAGCUUCGCGUACCACAGGCGGGCCUUGAUAUGGGGGCGAUACAGGAUCGACGUGCGUGGAAACGGUAUGAUUUUCGCCCGGCAUGGUACCACCGUUAUCGGGCCGAUCGUCAAUUGCGAACGAUAAUCAAAUCGCACUCGCUGCCUAACACUAGGUAAGCGCGGUCCGGGGGGCACCGGGCAACAGAAGCCCCCCACU
RNAcentral lists this transfer-messenger RNA (329 nucleotides) under Rhodospirillaceae bacterium. It matches the Rfam family "Alphaproteobacteria transfer-messenger RNA". From Rfam's summary of the family: Bacterial tmRNA, also known as 10Sa RNA or SsrA, is named for its dual tRNA and mRNA-like properties. Its role is to liberate the mRNA from a stalled ribosome. To accomplish this part of the tmRNA is used as a reading frame that ends in a translation stop signal. RNAcentral also lists the same sequence under 1 other name. The record is from RNAcentral. Lineage: Bacteria; Pseudomonadati; Pseudomonadota; Alphaproteobacteria; Rhodospirillales; Rhodospirillaceae.